Phasianus colchicus (ring-necked pheasant) is the source of this 917-nucleotide non-coding RNA. Lineage: Eukaryota; Metazoa; Chordata; Aves; Galliformes; Phasianidae. The record is from RefSeq and is a predicted model, not a curated record.
UUGUGAUGUGGGGAGGUGACACAUUUUGGGGGUGACAUGGGGGGGAGGUGACACAUUUUGGAGGUGACACGUUGUGGAGGUGACAUUUUGGAGGUGACAGCACAUGGAGGUGACACAUUUUGGAGGUGACACCAGGGGGAGGUGAUGCAUUGGGGAGGUGACACAGUGUGGAGGUGACACAUUUUGGAGGUGACAGCACAUGGAGGUGACGGGGGAGGUGACGCUGUGGAGGUGACAUGCAGUGGAGGUGACACGUUGGGGAGGUGACACGUUGGGUAGGUGACACCAGGGGGAGGUGACAUUAGGGGAGGUGACACAUUUUGGAGGUGACAGCACAUGGAGGUGGCAUGGGGGAGAGGUGACAUGUUGUGGAGGUGACGCGUUGGGGAGGUGACAUUUUGGGGGUGACACCACAUGGAGGUGACAUGGGAGGUGACACACUUUGGAGGUGACACAUUGGGGAGGUGACACCGUUUGGAGGUGACAUGGGGGGGAGGUGACACGUUGCGGAGGUGACACCACAUGAAGGUGACACGUUGGAGAGGUGACACCUUAUGGAGGUGACAUUGGGGGAGGAGACACGUUGGGGAGGUGACACCACAUGGAGGUGAUACGUUGGGGAGGUGACACAUUUUGGAGGUGACAGCACAUGGAGGUGACACGUGGAGGUGACACAUUGUGGAGGUGACACAGUGUGGAGGUGACACCACAUGGAGGUGACACAUUUUGGAGGUGACAGCACACAGAGGUGACGUGGGGGGGAGGUGACACACUUUGGAGGUGACACAUUGUGGAGGUGACACAUUGUGGAGGUGACAGCACAUGGAGGUGACGGGGGAGGUGACAGACUUUGGAGAUGACACGUUGGGGAGGUGACACCACAUGGAGGUGACAUUGGGGGAGGUGACACAUUUUGG